UAAUUGUUUUUUUUUUUUAUUUCCAGUUACAUGGUUUAAUUCUAUAAAUAUUUUGACGUGUUUUUGCCAUUUUUAUAUAUAUUUUCAGAUAUGUCCCAAUCUGGUUGCCAACCACUGUGUUGCACACCGACUUGUAUUAGCCAGUGCUCAAACAGCAAAAGAGAUUGAACCCAUAAAGCAAUUCAACUAUCUUCUGCAACAGAUAUACAAAUCUUACGAUAACAGUGAUGUUAACCUAUUUGUAGCCUGGAGCCCGGACUUUGCUAGGAGACAAAAACAAAGCCUGAAUGUUAAUGCCGAGGUGUACAUUGUUCAUAUUUGGCACAAAGAUACACCUCAACACUUCCAUGUAAAAUGACCGAAAAGCUGCAUGUGACUUGACUCUUGGAGUUCAGAGGCUUUUUGGCAAGCGAUGGGGAAAAUGCGACUUUUUAUUGCGAAUAUAUUAAAAACGGUCACUGGCUGCUCACUUCACCAACAAAGUGGAAGAGGAUGAAGUUAAACUGGAGUGAAGUAGAUUUCUGCCAUUCCUCCACAGAAAGAAAAACAAAGGAGAAACUGUUGAUGACAUUUUGGCAUUCCUGGUAUCUGACAACAACCAGCCACAGUUGCAGACUCUUGCAAAGAUUUGUCUGGUCUUACCAAUGUCCACAGCUGAUUGUGAGAGAGGAUAUUUUGCACUCAAACAAAUCAAGACAUGACUGAGGAAUUGAUUAUCACAAAGCAUUUUCAACAAUCUCAAGCUAGUGUCUGUUGAAUGAGAAGAGGAGACAUUCAACCUUGACGCUGUGCACAGAUGGCAUGCCAAGGGAAAUAGGAAGAUUGAUUUUUGUGUGUGAAUGGACUAUAAGGAGCAACCCACAUUACUAAUUAAUGUAUAUAAAAGUGUUUUAACCAACA
This 900-nucleotide long non-coding RNA is filed under the name Gigantopelta aegis. Its description in RNAcentral is "uncharacterized LOC121389437, transcript variant X1". The record is from RNAcentral. Lineage: Eukaryota; Metazoa; Mollusca; Gastropoda; Neomphalida; Peltospiridae.